UAGGGCCGGGUUAGCCCUGUAGCCCCAAACAACGUAUUUUUUUUCUUUUGACCCUGAAUUAUUCUCUGUUCAAACACUUGCUUAAGAGCUUGCAACCGUAGCAUAGGUAGACGACAGUACAAAGUCGACGGAAGACAGCGGCGCAUGGUGGACGACAACACAAAGUAGAGUCAACAACAGCUCUUGACGACAACGGUGGUACAGACGACGAAGAAGAAUCAAGGUAUUGCAUUUUGGAUUGCUACUUCACGGGAUAAAAACAUAACGGGUAAAAGUUACUAAUGAUCCAUUUUGUUUUAUCUGCCUUUUGUUUUAUUUUUUGUUUUAUUGAACUCCUGCAGUCUGCAUUCUGAGUAUUGAAUGGGUGGGAUAUUCUUUUUUUCUUAUUAAGAUAACAUUAUUUUUUUGUUUGAAUUUUCAUAUUAGGUAUUAUGCUUUAUGUUGCUGUCUUUUCAUAUAUGGAUAAAUAAUUUUAAUAUCAUGAUUUUAAUAUGUUGUUGUCUUUUCAUAUUAUGCUUUAUGUUGUUAGCUAUAAUGAUUUUAAUAGUGAUUUUGUGACCUUUAAACUUAGUUGGUUCAUAUUUAAUAACAUGAUUUGGAUCUAUUUUGGGCAUCUUUUGUCUUCCCCUUUUUCUGCCUUAAAUUUGCCUCUUAAGUAUGGACCACUUUAAGAGUAACCCUUUAACUUUGGUUGAUGAUCUUGCAUCUGAAACUCCUGGUCCAUCUGAAAGUGCUACCACAAAUAAAAAGGAAGUUUCAAAUAUUUGGAAUUUUUUCACAAAAAUAGGAAAAGAUGAGGAUGGCAUUGAAAAGGCUGCAUGUAAGUAUUGUGGCAAUAACUACAAAGUUGGAAAACACCCUGUUACUAAAAAUAAUUAUGGAACUUCACAUUUAAGUCGACAUGUCAAUGCGUGUAGAAGUAUUGCAAACUUAGAUGUGGAUAUGAAUCUUUACCAAGAAGGAAAGUUUGGGACACGAAAAAUCAAUCAAAAGAUUCAUCGUAAGCUACUUGCAAGAGCCAUAAUUAAACAUAGUCUCCCUUAUAAUUUUGUUGAAUAUGAAGGAAUCAGGGAGUGGAUAAAAUACAUUAAUCCGAAUGUUGACAUGAAAUGUAGGAACACUACUGUAUCAGAUGUGGAAAAGGAAUACAUUGAACAAAAGGAUAAAGUUAAGCAAAUCAUGUCUAAGAUUCCUAAUAGAAUUUGUUUAACCUCUGAUGUUUGGACUGCAGUUACUUCUGAGGGAUAUAUUUGCCUAACUGCACACUUUGUUGAUGAAAAUUGGAAAUUGACAAGUAAGAUUCUUAACUUCUGUCGAAUGAAACCACCACAUAGAGGUGUUGAACUAGAAAGUGUUGUGUUUGAUUGCCUAAAGCAAUGGGGUAUUGAUAAGAAAAUUUUCUCAAUUACCCUGGAUAAUGCUUCUGCCAAUAAUAAUUUGCAAGACAUUUUAAAAAGCCAUCUUUGUGUUCAUAGAAAUUAUUAUGUGAUGGUGAGUUUUUUCAUGUACGAUGUUGUGCUCACACUCUUAAUUUGAUAGUUCAAGAUGGUUUAAAGGUGAUUGACAGAGCACUCCAUAGUAUUAGAGAGAGUAUUAAGUAUGUUAAAUCAUCAGAUGGAAGAACUCUCAAAUUCAAAGAAUGUGUUAGUGAUGUUGACAUAAAUAUGAGUAUGGGUUUGAGAUUAGAUGUGACUACAAGAUGGAAUUCAACCUAUUUAAUGCUAGAAAGUGCAAUCAAAUAUAAGAAACCUUUUGAAAUUCUCAAAGUGGUUGAUAGAAAUUAUAAAAAUUGUCCAUCUUUUGAGGAAUGGAAUAGGGGGGAGAAAAUAUGUCAAUUCUUAGAACCAUUUUAUGAGAUUACAAACAUGAUGUCUGGUUCAUCUUAUCCCACUUCAAACUUGUAUUUUAUGCAAAUUUGGAAAAUUCAGCUUAUCAUUGAAGAGAAUUUAUUGAAUAAAGAUCUCACCUUAAAGGAUAUGGCUUGGAAUAUGAAAGAAAAGUUUCAAAAGUAUUGGAAGGAGUAUAGUAUUGGGUUAGCUUUUGGAGCUAUUCUUGACCCACGACUAAAAGUUGAUUUUAUAACAUAUUGUUAUAAAAUUUUGGAUCCUCUAACCUAUGCAGAGAAAACAAAGAAAGUGUUAGAGAAGUUCAAGAGGUUAUUUAAAGAAUAUGUAAAGAAUUUUUCUAUCCCUGGUGUUUCUCUUUCUCAAUCACCUACUGAAUCCAUCUUGAUGUCUCAAUCCAAUACUGAAGGGAAAAAGUUUAAGAGAUCAAGGAUUAUUUCGGAUUUUAAAAUGUACAAAAUCUAUUGUUGGAAAGAACGAGAUAGAUGUUUAUUUAGAUGAACCAACAAUAGAUGAUGAUGAAGACAAUGAAGAUUUUGAUGUGCUCAAAUAUUGGAAGACUAAUGAGAAAAAAUUUGCCAUAUUGUCUAUAAUGGCUCGAGAUGUAUUUAGUAUUCCCAUUACUACAGUGGCAUCAGAGUCAGCUUUUAGCAAAGGUGGGCGUGUACUUUCAAAAUAUAGAAGCUCCAUUCUUCCUGAGCAUGUGCAAAUGUUGAUUUGUACUCAAAAUUGGCUAUAUGGAUUUUCUGAAAAUCCUAGCGAUGAAAUUGUUGAAGAUAUUUUUGGUCAUGAGAGAAUUGAUGAGUCUAACCUUUUAGAAGAUGUUGAAAGUCUUCAACAUUGAAUAAAUGAUGUUUCAUUUGACUUUGUCUCAGCUUUACGUAUAUGGCUGCUGCUGGUGCAGGUUCAACGGCUUCUGACCCGACAAGAUUAUACUAAUUCUGGAAGGAAGAUCCUCCAUUACAUUGAAGAGCCUCGGUGAUCCAGGAAGUCAUUGAUUUAAAAGUCAUUUUCGCUUAAGCGAGAAUAAUUUAGCUUAAGCGAGAAUGACUAUCUUCUUUAAGAAGAUUAUUCUCGCUUAAGCGAGAAUAAUUUAGCUUAAGCGAGAAUUCGGGCAGUAUAUAUACUCACUAAGCAGAAAGAGAAAAUGUCUUUAGUUCUUUGGAGGCGCGAUUUCACGUCUAGAGCUCAUGGAGGGCGCGAGGAGCUUGUGGGAACAUCUCCUCCUCUUCCUUUGGAUCUCCUUCUUCUUCCAUCUUCCAUGUUUGUAAGCUUUAGGUUCUCCAUUAGGGUUAGAUGUAGCCUAUGAACUUUUGUGUAAUGAAUGAUUGUUUCAUAUUUAUAAAUGCCUUUUCUAUCUAUUACUAGUAUUCUUGUUUCCAAUCUUAAAGCUUGCAUGUAAUGGGGACGUUCAUGACUUGAUUUUGGGUAUUUAAUGGAAACAUGUAAGCUUUAAGAUCAGAAACAGAUUACUAGUAAUAGAUAGAAAAGACAUUUAUAAAUACGAAACAAUCAUUCAUUACACAAGAGUUCAUAGACUACACCUAAAAUAUAUGAAUUGUUAUAAGAGAACAUAGAACUAUAGUAAAAUAAAAAAGAUUUAUCAUUUAAGAUAUGAAUUGAAUAUAUAUGAUAUA
RNA transcript from Vigna angularis (adzuki bean), 3481 nucleotides. It is a transcript of the gene named zinc finger BED domain-containing protein DAYSLEEPER-like, with no coding region annotated. Lineage: Eukaryota; Viridiplantae; Streptophyta; Magnoliopsida; Fabales; Fabaceae. The transcript has 6 exons. The record is from RefSeq and is a predicted model, not a curated record.